AGUCGAGCGGUAACAUUUCUAGCUUGCUAGAAGAUGACGAGCGGCGGACGGGUGAGUAAUGCUUGGGAAUAUGCCUUAUGGUGGGGGACAACAGUUGGAAACGACUGCUAAUACCGCAUAAUGUCUACGGACCAAAGGGGGGGAUCUUCGGACCUCUCGCCAUUUGAUUAGCCCAAGUGAGAUUAGCUAGUUGGUGAGGUAAUGGCUCACCAAGGCGACGAUCUCUAGCUGGUUUGAGAGGAUGAUCAGCCACACUGGGACUGAGACACGGCCCAGACUCCUACGGGAGGCAGCAGUGGGGAAUAUUGCACAAUGGGCGCAAGCCUGAUGCAGCCAUGCCGCGUGUGUGAAGAAGGCCUUCGGGUUGUAAAGCACUUUCAGUAAGGAGGAAAGGGAUGUAGUUAAUAACUGCAUUCUGUGACGUUACUUACAGAAGAAGCACCGGCUAACUUCGUGCCAGCAGCCGCGGUAAUACGAGGGGUGCAAGCGUUAAUCGGAAUUACUGGGCGUAAAGCGUUCGUAGGCGGUUGAUUAAGCAAGAUGUGAAAGCCCAGGGCUCAACCUUGGAACUGCAUUUUGAACUGGUCAACUAGAGUACUGUAGAGGGUGGUGGAAUUUC
RNAcentral lists this ribosomal RNA (619 nucleotides) under uncultured bacterium. RNAcentral's name for it is "bacterial SSU rRNA". It matches the Rfam family "Bacterial small subunit ribosomal RNA", at positions 60 to 670 of the family's 1533-position model. The record is from RNAcentral.